AAACACCAGUUCCCGUAGGAUCACCGAAGUUAAGCAACGUCGAGCCUGGUCAGUACCUAGAUAGGUGACCGCUUAGGAAUACCAGAUUCUGUAA
RNAcentral lists this ribosomal RNA (94 nucleotides) under Acanthosepion pharaonis. Lineage: Eukaryota; Metazoa; Mollusca; Cephalopoda; Sepiida; Sepiidae. The record is from RNAcentral.